RNAcentral lists this non-coding RNA (27 nucleotides) under Mus musculus (house mouse). Lineage: Eukaryota; Metazoa; Chordata; Mammalia; Rodentia; Muridae. The record is from RNAcentral.
UGCUCAGGUCAGCUCACGGACUGUGAA